This 253-nucleotide ribosomal RNA is filed under the name uncultured bacterium. Its description in RNAcentral is "partial 16S ribosomal RNA". It matches the Rfam family "Bacterial small subunit ribosomal RNA", at positions 524 to 776 of the family's 1533-position model. The record is from RNAcentral.
UACGAAGGGGGCUAACGUUGCUCGGAAUCACUGGGCGUAAAGGGCGCGUAGGCGGCUUUGUAAGUCGGGGGUGAAAGCCUGUGGCUCAACCACAGAAUUGCCUUCGAUACUGCAUGGCUUGAGACCGGAAGAGGUAAGUGGAACUGCGAGUGUAGAGGUGAAAUUCGUAGAUAUUCGCAAGAACACCAGUGGCGAAGGCGGCUUACUGGUCCGGAUCUGACGCUGAGGCGCGAAAGCGUGGGGAGCAAACAGG